RNAcentral lists this ribosomal RNA (27 nucleotides) under uncultured Russula. Its description in RNAcentral is "partial 18S ribosomal RNA". Lineage: Eukaryota; Fungi; Basidiomycota; Agaricomycetes; Russulales; Russulaceae. The record is from RNAcentral.
CGUAGGUGACCUGUGGAAGGAUCAUUA